UUGAUAAGAGUAAUCCUGUUGAAAAGCAGAGACACAAAGCUAUAGGGUCUAAGGCUUUUUUGAAAGAAGCUAUGACAGCCAGUUGCCG
RNAcentral lists this non-coding RNA (88 nucleotides) under human gut metagenome. RNAcentral describes it as "Cyclic di-GMP-I riboswitch". It matches the Rfam family "c-di-GMP-I riboswitch aptamer". Rfam says of the family: GEMM was predicted in a large-scale screen for bacterial structured RNA regulatory elements. The record is from RNAcentral. RNAcentral also lists the same sequence under 1 other name.